RNAcentral lists this unclassified non-coding RNA (378 nucleotides) under uncultured Actinomycetes bacterium. RNAcentral describes it as "uncultured actinobacterium contains 16S-23S intergenic spacer region". Lineage: Bacteria; Bacillati; Actinomycetota; Actinomycetes. The record is from RNAcentral.
UCCGGUUUGACACCGGCAGUCUCUCAUGAGUCCCCGACAUUACUCGCUGGCAACAUAAGAUAGGGGUUGCGCUCGUUGCGGGACUUAACCCAACACCUCACGGCACGAGCUGACGACAACCAUGCACCACCUGUGGGAGGCCCCGAAGGGCUGCCGUGUUUCCACGACAUUCCUGUGCAUGUCAAGCCCAGGUAAGGUUCUUCGCGUUGCGUCGAAUUAAGCCACAUGCUCCACCGCUUGUGCGGGCCCCCGCCAAUUCCUUUGAGUUUUAGCCUUGCGGCCGUACUCCCCAGGCGGGGCGCUUAAUGCGUUAGCUACGGCACGGAUCCCGUGGAAGGAAACCCACACCUAGCGCCCACCGUUUACGGCGUGGACUAC